GUGUCAGCAGCCGCGGUAAUACGUAGGGUGCAAGCGUUAAUCGGAAUUACUGGGCGUAAAGCGUGCGCAGGCGGUUUUGUAAGUCUGACGUGAAAUCCCCGGGCUCAACCUGGGAAUUGCGUUGGAGACUGCAAGGCUAGAAUCUGGCAGAGGGGGGUAGAAUUCCACGUGUAGCAGUGAAAUGCGUAGAGAUGUGGAGGAACACCGAUGGCGAAGGCAGCCCCCUGGGUCAAGAUUGACGCUCAUGCACGAAAGCGUGGGGAGCAAACAGGAUUAGAUACCCUGGUAGUCCACGCCCUAAACGAUGUCUACUAGUUGUCGGGUCUUAAUUGACUUGGUAACGCAGCUAACGCGUGAAGUAGACCGCCUGGGGAGUACGGUCGCAAGAUUAAAACUUAAAUGAAUUGGCGGGG
RNAcentral lists this ribosomal RNA (413 nucleotides) under uncultured prokaryote. RNAcentral describes it as "bacterial SSU rRNA". It matches the Rfam family "Bacterial small subunit ribosomal RNA", at positions 505 to 918 of the family's 1533-position model. The record is from RNAcentral.